AUACUUACCUGGUAGGAGAGAUACCAUGAUCUGGAAGGUGGUUUUCCCAGGACAGGGCUCACCCACUGCACUCCGGAUGUUCCGACCGCUGCGAUUUCCCCAAAAUGUGGGAAACUUGACUGCAUGAUUUCUGGUAGUGAGGGACUACAUUUAUGCUCGCUCAUG
Molecule: small nuclear RNA, 165 nt
Organism: Phyllostomus discolor (pale spear-nosed bat)
Lineage: Eukaryota; Metazoa; Chordata; Mammalia; Chiroptera; Phyllostomidae
Product: U1 spliceosomal RNA
Exons: 1
Source: RefSeq, a predicted model, not a curated record